UCUUUACAUUGUUUUUUUACUAUUUUUUAUUUUAUAUAUUUGUUUAUAAUAAAUUUUAUAUAUUUUAUAUAUUUGUUUUAUAUUAAGUUGUAUAUCUUAUUUGUUUUUAAAAUAAAUUUUAGAAAAAUUUGUUUUAUAUAUAUUUUAUAAUUUUUCAAAUUUAUUUUAUGAUAUAAUAUUAUUACUUUAAGUAAUGUUUGAGAGAAACAAUAAAAUAUAUUAAUUUUUUAUUUAAUUUUUAAUCUGUUCCAUUUUUUAUUUUUUAAAU
This 268-nucleotide long non-coding RNA is filed under the name Lathyrus oleraceus (garden pea). RNAcentral describes it as "Pisum sativum (pea) long non-coding RNA (PSAT_LNC014021)". Lineage: Eukaryota; Viridiplantae; Streptophyta; Magnoliopsida; Fabales; Fabaceae. The record is from RNAcentral.